Long non-coding RNA from Homo sapiens (human), 264 nucleotides. RefSeq lists it as uncharacterized. The transcript has 3 exons. Lineage: Eukaryota; Metazoa; Chordata; Mammalia; Primates; Hominidae. The record is from RefSeq and is a predicted model, not a curated record.
UAAAAAAGGCACAGAUGUGACCUAAAUCCUGAUCACUGUGCUGGGGGCUCUCCUUGUGAAGACCGCAUCUUAGGGGACAGCCAGCCAUCUCGUUCCCUGAGGAUGUGCUGCCGUGGAUGCUGCUGUGAGUAUCACUAUUGCCAUUGUUAUGGUAACCACUUACAAGCACCUGCUAUGUGCCAGGAAGAAGAGCUGGAAGGACUGACAGGCUCCGGUGGCCACCCUACAACCAGAAGACAGACACCUGACAAUGUAUUGUCAGAU